RNAcentral lists this ribosomal RNA (232 nucleotides) under uncultured bacterium. RNAcentral's name for it is "partial 16S ribosomal RNA". It matches the Rfam family "Bacterial small subunit ribosomal RNA", at positions 99 to 334 of the family's 1533-position model. The record is from RNAcentral.
CGGACGGGUGAGUAAUGUCUGGGAAACUGCCCGAUGGAGGGGGAUAACUACUGGAAACGGUAGCUAAUACCGCAUAACGUCGCAAGACCAAAGAGGGGGACCUUCGGGCCUCUUGCCAUCGGAUGUGCCCAGAUGGGAUUAGCUAGUAGGCGGGGUAAUGGCUCACCUAGGCGACGAUCCCUAGCUGGUCUGAGAGGAUGACCAGCCACACUGGAACUGAGACACGGUCCAG